GAAAGCACGACAUUGCUCACAUUGCUUCCAGUAUUACUUUUAUAGCCAGCCGGGUGCUGGCUUUUUUUU
Molecule: small RNA, 69 nt
Organism: Pluralibacter gergoviae
Lineage: Bacteria; Pseudomonadati; Pseudomonadota; Gammaproteobacteria; Enterobacterales; Enterobacteriaceae
Source: Rfam